GUGCACCGCACCCCUGACGUCAUCCCUGGGGUGGCUGCCUCGGCCCCUUCUGCUACUGCAGCGUAUGCACCCCUCCUCCCGCAGAAUUGGCCCAUAGCCUUCCGCGUGGCUUCCGUCGAGGGGUUUUGCUUCUGGUUCGAGGUCACGGACAAGAUGGUGCCGCCGGUGCAUGUCUCCCCGUUCAUCAAGCUGGGCCGCUACUCCGCGCUGUUUCUUGGCGCGGCGCAGGAGUCAGGCGACACAGUUACCUGAAGCCCUGCGCGGAGGAGGAGAGGCGGCUGGCGGCGGCGGGAAAGCAGAAGCAGGAUGAGCUGAAGCCUAUCUCGAGGGAGCGGGCGGAAGCCGAGGACGACAGCAUCCUCAAGUGAGUGUCUCCCAGAACCGAGCUUCGUUGCGGGAAUAAAGCGGCCCGUGCGGUGCGAGUCUGUUUCCCUCCAUCCUGGGAUGGGCGGGGAGCGGACUCCGGUCUCCCGCAUGGCGCCAUCCGGGGGCUCUCCUGCACUGGGUCCCGCGCGCGGAGACAGCAGCUCGGUUUCUCUGACUUUAUUCUGGAUCUGCUUGGUCUACGACCAUGAGAGGCGGCCUCCGUGGGCCGGCCUCCUGGGUGCACUCAGACAGGUGCAGGCCCUUCGGGCUCUCCCGCAGCAGCGUCCACUUCACAGCACUCACACCUGGCUUAGGUUUGUGAAAACACAAAAACCUUGGAACAAUUCAACGCGGCUUCUUCUGGCGGCCUAACCUGACACCAAACUGCCAGAGACGGAGCUGGGGGCUCUGCAGGUCCCACGUCAGGUCCUGGGACGCAGCUCACAGGAUGCAUCAGGUGGAAGACUUGGGAGCCGGGCCCCCGUUGCAGAUCUCUGUGCCGCCUGCAAGAGAAGGGGGGGCCGUGAGUGGGAGCCACACAGGCCACUUCCCCGCUGCUCUGAGUGACCUCUGCGGUCCCUGCAGGAGAGAGGGCGGAGCAUGGCGGGGCCAGCCGGGGCCGAUGAGCCGAUUAGCUGGGGCUGGGCCUGCCUUAGUCUUGGCCCUGUUGUCCAGGGGAGUCACCCCCCUUCGCCAGGGCUUCCACGCCCCUCAGAUUUGUGGCUUGGGUUCUGGAAGGCGCAGGACUUUUUCUCAGUGUUGGUGAAAACUGAUGGCAGGGAGUAGCGCAAGUGCUGGGUCUGGCUGUGUCCACUCCCUGGGGCUGCCAUCCUCCCCGAGCCCCUGCAAGGACUGGCAAUGCCAGUGAGGGCCUCUCUGCCCUGCGGGGCCGGCCUUCCACACGUCUGCUGGUGGGGCUCACACACUGGAGGCCCCUUGGAGGGAGCCCCACAUGUACCCAGGGCCUUCACUUUGGCCUCGUACUCAUCCGCCAGCGCCUUCCACUCUUUCCUGUUGUUCUGCAGUCAGUCAAACAUGGGCAGGAUUUCCUCUUGGAACAGUGAGAACUCCUGGAAGGGGUGGAGCCAUCACCAGGCCACCCACAGGGGCUUCCCAGCCCAAACCCUUGCAGGCUUGCCCGGCCUGGCCCACCGCCGGGCGUCCCUUGGCAGACAGAGCUGUCGGUGAGGGAGAGGCAAUGAGCAGGACAUCAGGUCCCCAGCAAAGCCCCAAAGGGGAUGUUGGGGGGUUGUGUGUGAGGGAGCUCCUGCGGACAUGGUUACUGCAGGCGGGGCUGGGGCAGGACGCCCAGCGUCCCCUGAAAGGAGAUGGCAUGUGGCAGAUGAGCCCACCCCAAAUGCCUCUUUGUCACCCACAUGACGAUCUCCUUCCACGUGGUCUCCAGUGACAGGUACUCCACCCAGCUCUUGUCCUGGUUGUUCUUGGUCUCAUCCGCGACCUGGAACAUCCUCCUCUUCCUGAGCCCACAGCUGGGGCGGUGGCAUGGGGAGAGGGGCGGAGAGGAGGGGGAGCUGAGGCUGGAGUCACCCCGGGGGUCCCGCCUGCUUCCCAGAGCCUCCAAAGCCGGGGUAUCACAACCCGACCACUAGCGUGAUCCCUCCCUCAGCAUGGCCCCGCCCUUCCAGGGAGGGGAGCGCGCUUGAAGUAGAGCGCCAGGUCAGUGGCGAUGAUGGCGAUGUCCAUGAGGUGGAUCACGUGCUCGUGCUGCUGCAGGUUCAGGUUCUAGUAGAUGUUGAGGCUCUGCGGGAGAUCACAUGUCAGCCACGCGCAGCCGGCGCCCCCACUGUCCCCUUGACCCAUCCUGGUGCUUGGGCGGGCCCCGAUCUGGCCUCCGGGGUUCUGUCCCCACACACGCUGCAGGAACCCGGGUUGGGCCUGCACCCUGCGUGGUCGCCUCACCCACAGCGGCCGCCGGGUGCCCUCUGCCUCCUCUGGGUCCUGGGACCUGGAUGACCGCCCUGCCAGGGGCAGGGCCGAGGAGGUCCCAGCUUUACAGGACACCUGCUGGCCACUCUGCGCCGAUGGUCUCAGGCCACUGCCUCCUCAGAGGGGCACAGCUGGCCUCCGGCCUCAUCCUCACACGGAGCCCUGGGGUCUCCCUUGGCUCAGGGUCACGCAGACUCUGAUGGCUGGAAGUGAGGACACAGACCUCCUCGGACAGAAGGAACUUCCUGAACUCCAGGUAGUACUGUUCCAGGAUCGAAGAGCCCUGGAGCUUGGCCAAGGGGUUCUGGGACCUGCCAUGUGUGCCAUGGAAAACGAGCGUGGAGGAGCGGCCGGAGCUGCCGACUCCAGCCCACCCUGGGUGCUGCAUGGCCAUUGGCAGCAAGUCAGGUCCACCUUGUCGCGUCCCUCGACCAGCAAGGAAGACACAACCCGAACUCUUCUUCAAGCAGUUUAUUCAGGAACCUUGAACAAGCUUCUUCUCCCGCCUCCUUCCCUCUCCCAUCCCUCUUAUAGCCAUCAGCACACCAAUCAAAAGCAGCCAAGUGGCAAGGAUUGAUAGGUACAGCAAUGCGGAAGCCAGAAGGGAGCUCAGCCAUCUCCUUAUUAGGAGUUGUUUGUUUCUCGCCAGUCCUUCCGGGAGAAAGGAGCCGGCGCCAUCUUUAGGGCGCGGUGCAAUGGCUCCCCACACCACCUCAGGGUGUGGUGACUCCCAGCCCACCCGGCCAGGGGCCUACUUCAUCUGGUGCAGGUUGUUGGUGCCGCGGUGGUUGAUGUCAUGGCACAGGCCGGCUGUCUCCAUAGUGAAAUCCUCCAGGUCAGUGUAGUAGCUCUUCAGCUUGCCCAUCUGAGGGGUGGGGGCAGCACAUGGGGACGUGAGGAGGGGGAGCUGGGCCCCUGCCCAUCCACCACGGUGCGGGUAGGAAUGAACUGGACAGAGGCGCCCGCCUCCACCCCACCAUGAGAGGCCCAUGUGGGACUGGGGCCCCUGUCUGCCCAUGGAUGCCCCUGUGCUGCACCUGUCCCCACCCCCACGGCAGGUCUGGGUCUGAUUCGGGCCCCCCAUCUGCCUGCCUGCAUACCCACCAUGAGCAGCAUGGACAUGGUCUGGGUCACGUUGAAGCUGUGACGCCAGUUGUGGUAGGUGAUCCAGCAUUAGGCUUUGCUGACGGAGAACAGGAGCCACACCAGGACCUGGGGGAGCACACAGGCUCUGGGCCCAGCCCCACCCCUGUCACCAGCCCUCGGGGAGUGGUUUGUGGAGGGGUGCAGGAGGCCUGGGCAGGGCAGAAGCCAAGAGCAGCCCCACUGGGACAGGACAUCGUCCUGGGCAAGGCUGGGAGACAGAUGUGGGCAGCAGGGGCCUCAGCUGUGUCCACUGAGACAGUUAGGGUCAGAAAACAGACUUUUUUUUUUUUAUUCUAACUUAUACGUGUGUAAUGUUUCCUCUUUGUGUUUAGUAAAAUUUC
Non-coding RNA from Oryctolagus cuniculus (rabbit), 3800 nucleotides. NCBI's taxonomy places the organism in Eukaryota, Metazoa, Chordata, Mammalia, Lagomorpha, Leporidae. The record is from RefSeq and is a predicted model, not a curated record.